Sapajus apella (tufted capuchin) is the source of this 1514-nucleotide non-coding RNA. NCBI's taxonomy places the organism in Eukaryota, Metazoa, Chordata, Mammalia, Primates, Cebidae. The record is from the annotation of a RefSeq genome assembly.
GUAAAACAGAUUCUUUUUAUGAUUUUUAAGGUAGAAAAACUAGAAACAUUCAUUCUAGGUUCAUUUUUUUUUUUUUGUAGAAUUUAAAAUUUAAAUACUCAGUGAAUCAGGGCAGAAAAGAAUGAUGAAAUCCUUGACAGUUUUACUAGUGAUCCUGUGGCUUCAGUUAAGCUGGGUUUGGAGCCAACAGAAGGUGGAGCAGAAUUCUGGACCCCUCAAUAUCCCAGAGGGAGUCAUUGCCUCUCUCAACUGCACUUACAGUGACCGUUCUUCUCAGUCCUUUUACUGGUACAGGCAAUAUUCUGGGAAAAGCCCUGAGCUGCUGAUGUCUAUAUACUCCAAUGGUGAUGAAGAAGUUGGAAGGUUUACAGCACAACUCAACAGAGCCAGCCAGUAUGUUUCCCUGCUCAUCAGAGACUCCCAGCUCAGUGACUCAGCCACCUACCUCUGUGCAGUAAGCAUCGUACUAUGGGACGGCUGGGGGAAAUUGCAGUUUGGAGCAGGGACCCAGGUUAUGGUCACCCCAGAUAUCCAGAACCCUGACCCUGCCGUGUACCAGCUGAGAGACUCUAAAUCCAGCAACUCCUCUGUCUGCCUAUUCACUGAUUUUGAUUCUAAAAUGAAUGUGUCAGAAAGUAAGGAGUCUGAAGUGUACAUCACAGACAAAACUGUGCUAGACAUGAAGUCUAUGGACUCCAAGAGCAACGGUGCCGUGGCCUGGAGCAGCAAUUCCAAUUUUAAAUGCACAGACGCCUUCAACGGCAGCUCUCUUCCAGCAAACACCUUCUUCUCCGGCUCAGAAAGUCUCUGCGAUGCCAGCCUUGUUGAGAAAAGCUUUGAAACAGAUAUGAACCUAAACUUUCAAAACCUGUCAGUGAUUGGGUUCCGAAUCCUCCUCCUGAAAGUGGCCGGCUUUAAUCUGCUCAUGACGCUGCGGCUGUGGUCCAGCUGAGGUCCGAAAGAUUAUAAGAGAGCCUGUGCUCCCUUGCACCUUCAUCCGCACCACCCCUCCUCUCCCUCUCCAAGCAAAGGGGACGCUCCCACCCCCACGGAGGAGAAAGCUGCUACCACCUCUGUGCGCUCCCCUCCCCCCUCCUCCCCCCCACAAUGCCACCAACUGGAUCCUACCCGAAUUUGUGACGAAGAUUGCUGAAGAGCUGCCAAACACUGCUGCCACCCCGUUCCCUUAUUGCUGCUUGUCACUGCCUGACAUGCAUGGCAGAGGCAAGGCUGCGGCAGCCUCGCCUGGCUGUGCAGAUCCCCUCCCGCUCCCCAGAGACUGCCUCCACCAUCCCACAGAUGAUGGAUCCUCAGUGGGUUCUCUUGGGCUCUAGGUCCUAGAGAAUGUUGUGAGGGGGUUAUAAUUUUUUAAAUAAUGUUCAUAAAGAAAUACAUAUUAUUCUCAAGAUGUGGCGGAAAUUAAUCUCAUUAUCGAGGCCCUGCUAUGCUGUGUAUCUGGGCAUGUUGUAUAUCUUGCUGCCCCAUGGCUUCAUUAAAAAUGACUUGGAAGAGCA